UACGGGGGGGGCAAGCGUUGUUCGGAAUUACGGGGCGUAAAGGGCUCGUAGGUGGCCAACUAAGUCAGACGUGAAAUCCCCGGGCUUAACCUGGGAACUGCAUUUGGGACUGCAAGGCUUGAGUACGGCAGAGGGGGGUAGAAUUCCUGGUGUAGCAGUGAAAUGCGUAGAUAUCAGGAGGAAUACCGAUGGCGAAGGCAGCCCCCUGGGUCGAUACUGACGCUCAUGCACGAAAGCGUGGGGAGCAAACAGG
This 253-nucleotide ribosomal RNA is filed under the name uncultured bacterium. RNAcentral's name for it is "partial 16S ribosomal RNA". It matches the Rfam family "Bacterial small subunit ribosomal RNA", at positions 524 to 776 of the family's 1533-position model. The record is from RNAcentral.